CUGGGAUUAAAGGCGUGCGCCACCACGCCCGGCUGGCAUUUUCUUAAUUAGUGAUUGGAGGAAGGCUCCAGCCACUGUGCCUGGUGCCAUCCCUGGGCUGACAGAAAGCAAGCUGAGCAAGCCAGGGGAAGCAAGCCAAUAAGUAACAUCCUCAUGGCCUCUGCAUCAGCUCCUGCCUCCAGGGUCCUGCCCCGCUUGAGUACCUGUCCUGAUCUUCAAGGGUGAACAGCGAUGUGGAAGGGUCAGCCAAGUAAACCCUUUCCCUCCAAAUUGCUUUUUGGUCAUGGUGUUUCCUCGAAGAAUAGAAACCCUAAGACAAGGAGAUGAUAAGAGUGGAGGGUUUGACAAGGAAGAGGAGAUGCCAUUGAGGGAGGAGGUGACAGUGAGGGAGGGGAGCUGACAGGAAGGAGUUACCUAGAACGGGAGUGGAUAGCAGGGUGGCAGGGGUGUGUUGCUCCAGUGGCGGCCAGCAAGAGCCCUGGUUCCUUUGCCCUUUGGUGCCCUUCUUUCUUCUGUUACCACACCUUCUGUUUUCUGCUCCCAGCCUGCCAACUGCCACUCGUCUCCGUGAGGGAUCCUCUGAUGCCAGAGCAGCUUUCCCUCUGCAUCCACUGGGGCAGCCUAGGUUUGCAGUCUGGCUCUGGCCUUGCCGACUCCAUUGGUCAGGGUCUCUCACUGAACCUGGAACUUAUCAGUUCAGAUCAUCAUGGUGGCAAGUAACCCGAUCAGGAAACUCCCUCACAUGCGUGCCCAGCAGCUUGUGUUCUAGUUGAUACCAGAUGCAGUCGGUUUGACAACCAAGACUGACCACCACACUGCCCUUCCACCCCAGACUUCACAGAAGUAACCCCUGAGGGUCAGAGGAGUUCUUUGAUGGCCUGAGCCACACAGUGGUGAGUACAGAACUGGACCUACCUGCUCCUGCCUUCCUCUACUUGCCCUUUUUAGACCCACGGCUUCAGGGCGGCACACACCCUGAGAUGUGAUGUGAGGAGUUGAGGAAGGCUAGAGACAUAGCCUGGAGUGUCAGCAUGGCCUGGCUCCAGCCAGAUACCCUGAGUUGCUAGGCCCUGACCUCAGGAAAAGACCCCCAUGCACCUGUCACCAAUUGUAGGGCAGUGGGCGCUGGGGGAAUAAAGGGAGUGGGAGAAAACCCGCGUCCCGCCAGAGUUCCGGUGCUCUGGGUGGGUGGACGCAGGAGGACUGCCGCAUGAGGACUGCCACACACUUUCCAC
This is a long non-coding RNA of Mus musculus (house mouse), 1235 nucleotides long. RefSeq annotates it as predicted gene, 38498. The transcript is spliced from 3 exons. Lineage: Eukaryota; Metazoa; Chordata; Mammalia; Rodentia; Muridae. The record is from RefSeq and is a predicted model, not a curated record.